RNAcentral lists this ribosomal RNA (380 nucleotides) under uncultured bacterium. RNAcentral describes it as "bacterial SSU rRNA". It matches the Rfam family "Bacterial small subunit ribosomal RNA", at positions 29 to 400 of the family's 1533-position model. The record is from RNAcentral.
AAUGAACGCUGGCGGCGCGCCUAAUACGUGCAAGUCGAGCGAGAAGACGUAGCAAUACGUUUGUAAAGCGGCGAACGGGUGAGGAAUACAUGGGUAACCUACCCUAGAGUGGGGAAUAACUAGCCGAAAGGUUAGCUAGUACCGCGUACGCUCCUUGGACUUCGGUUCAGGGAGGAAAGCGAUGCCGAGGGUAUCGCGCUCUUGGAUGGGCUCAUGUCCUAUCAGCUUGUUGGGAGGUAACGGCUCACCAAGGCUUCGACGGGUAGCUGGUCUGAGAGGACGAUCAGCCACACUGGCACUGCGACACGGGCCAGACUCCUACGGGAGGCAGCAGUAAGGAAUAUUGCGCAAUGGGCGAAAGCCUGACGCAGCGACGCCGC